Molecule: long non-coding RNA, 251 nt
Filed under: Homo sapiens (human)
Lineage: Eukaryota; Metazoa; Chordata; Mammalia; Primates; Hominidae
Description: non-protein coding lnc-GXYLT1-5:1
Source: RNAcentral
GCAAUAACAGCACAAUUACAGCAAAUGUCUCCACCUUCACUGUCGGUUACUGCACACAGGUCUAGGUUACAAGUUCAAAAUUUCACUGAUUAUUGGUGCAUAAUUGGCUUCAUGUGGAUGAUAAACGUAUUACUGAUUGAUUAUCAUGACUUGGUCAUAUUUGAAAUGUCAAAGUAGAAAAUUGAAUUGUCAUAUUAUCACAUGUUCUCAUUCAAGCACCAGAUAAAUAUUACAAAUGAUGAUUUUCCACU